UUCUUCCUCCUCCUUUUUUCUUCUUCAUUUUUGAGACAGGGUUUCUCUGUGUAGCCCUGGCUGUCCUGGAACUCACUCUGUAGACCAGGCUGGCCUCGAACUCAUAGAGAUCCUCCUGCCUCUGCGUCCUGAGUGCUAGGAUUAAAGGCGUGCGCCACCACUGCCCAACGCCUUUUUUUUUUCUUUUUUAUUUAAAGAAAGAAUAUAAAGUUGUGUCAGCUGUGGGGAAAGGUUUUGUUUUAUGUGUGUGUGUGUAUGUGUUCUGCUUUGAUUUUGUUUUUUAUUUCUCAGAGAGAGAAGAACAUGAAGUUGGGUCUCUGUUGGGUGGGGGUCUCUGUACUGGCUGGUUUUGUGUGUCAACUUGACAUAAGCUGGAGUUAUCACAGAGAAAGGAGCCUCCCUUGAGGAAAUGCCUCCAUGAGAUCCAGCUGUAAGGCAUUCUUUUAAUUAGUGACCAAGUGGGGAAAGGCCCCUUGUGGGUGGUACCAUCCCUGGGCUGCUAGUCUUGGGUUCUAUAAGAAAGCAGGCUGAACAAAGCAGGGGAAGCAAGCCAGUAACUAACAUCCCUCCAUGGCCUCUGCAUCAGCUCCUGCUUCCUGACCUGCUUGAGUUCCAAUCCUGACUUCCUUUGGUGAUGAACAACAAUGUGGAAAUGUAAGCUGAAUAAACCCUUUCCUCCCCAACUUGCUUCUUGGUUAUGAUGUUUGUGCAGGAAUAGAAACCCUAACUAAGACAGAAUGGAUCUGGGAGGAAUUGGGGGAAAGAACAGAGUCUAACUGAGAUACACUGUAUGAAAACAUAAAGUAAAAUAGCACAAGUGUAGUGCUGCAAGUGCUGUGGAGGCAGAGGCCGUCCAAGAAUUCAAGUUCCCGCCAGCCAGAGCUACACAGUGACACCCCAUCUCAAAAAAUAAGAUUAUCCACCUUAAAAAAAUAUGGGCCAGGUGGUAGUGGUACACACUGUUAAUCCAAGCAGUCGGGAAAGGUGGGUGAAUCUCUGUGAGUUUGAGGCCAGCCUGGUCUACAGAACAAGUUUUGGGUCAGCCAGGGCUACACAAAUAAACCAAAACAUAUAUAUAUAUAUAUAUACUCUAGAGAGAUGGCUCAGAGGUUCAGAAGUCCUGAAUUCAAUUCCUAGCAACCACAUGUCAACUAACAACUGUCUGAAAUAGGAUCUGAUGCCCUCUUCUGGUGUGCAAACAUCAAUGCAGACAAAAUACCUAUAUACAUAAAUAAAUAAGUUGU
RNAcentral lists this long non-coding RNA (1244 nucleotides) under Mus musculus (house mouse). RNAcentral describes it as "long non-coding RNA chr3:34740643-34741887". The record is from RNAcentral. Lineage: Eukaryota; Metazoa; Chordata; Mammalia; Rodentia; Muridae.